UGUCCCAGGUGUGUCUCAGCUGUCCCCAGGUGUCCCCAGGUGUCCCCAGGUGUCCCCAGGUGUGUCCCAGGUGUCCCCAGGUGUCCCAGGUGUGCCAGGUGCGCUCACCUGCGGGACCAGGUUGCGGAAGCUGGCGAUGAUGUUGGUGCUCUUGAACUCCUGGUAGUACCCGAAGCACCCGGUGACGACCACGACGGCGAUGAGAGCCACGGCCAGGUAGAGCUGCAGGUGAGGCCAGGUGAGAGCGGGCCUGGGC
This 256-nucleotide long non-coding RNA is filed under the name Parus major (Great Tit). RNAcentral describes it as "lncRNA (ENSPMJG00000002500.1)". The record is from RNAcentral. Lineage: Eukaryota; Metazoa; Chordata; Aves; Passeriformes; Paridae.